This 927-nucleotide ribosomal RNA is filed under the name Triticum aestivum (bread wheat). Its description in RNAcentral is "partial small subunit ribosomal RNA". Lineage: Eukaryota; Viridiplantae; Streptophyta; Magnoliopsida; Poales; Poaceae. The record is from RNAcentral.
AUGAGGCAAAGUUUUCAAUAUUUAUUUAACUUCAAAGCGGAAGUUGAGAAGAGAUCCCCAGGAAGCAUUGUAGAGGUGGAUAUGAAGAUGGUUAACGGUAUAGUUCUCUUUAACCGAUUCUUUAUGGCUCUUAAACCUUGCAUUGAUGGCUUUAAAGCUGGUUGUAGACCAUAUCUUAGUAUAGACUCAACUGCACUCGCCGGUAAAUGGAGAGGUUACUUAGCCGCUUGUACAACAUUAGAUGGGCAUAAUUGGAUGUAUCAUGUAGCAUUUGCAUUCAUUGAUGGUGAAACCGAUGAAAAUUGGACAUGGUUCAUGUCACAACUCAACAAGGCAUUAGGUCCUGUUUCCCCUCUAGCUAUAUGCACAGAUGCAUGUAAAGGUUUAGAGAAUGCAGUCCAAAAAAUAUUCCCUCAUGCAGAUCAAAGGGAGUGUUUUAGGCAUCUCAUGGCUAACUUCUCUAAAAAGUUCCAAGGAGAUGUGUUUGGCAGAAUGUGGCCAGCUGCUAGGGCAUAUAGGCCACAAGUUUUUAACUACCACAUGAAUAAAAUCCUAACAGAAGCACCUGAUGUGCAUGAAUAUCUCUCAAGGUACCACAGCUUAAAAUGGAUGAGAUGCAUGUUUGACCCCUCCAUUAAAUGUGAUUACAUCCACAAUAACCUUGCCGAGUCUUUUAAUGGUUGGAUUAAAGAUUACAAAGAUUUGCCACCUGAUGAGCUAGCUGACACUCUUAGAGAGCUAGUCAUGAAACUUCAUGAGAAAAGGAGAAAGAUUGGAAUGAAACUGAAAGGAAAAAUUAUUCCAGCCAUCAUCCAACAGAUUCAUAAUAGGACAAGGGGACUUAAACAUUUGAAGGUUGGGAAAUCUGGAGUCGCAAGUUGUGAGGUGAGGGACACAAGUAAAUACAUCUUGCGACAUGUUGGCUGA